Molecule: non-coding RNA, 104 nt
Organism: Acanthosepion pharaonis
Lineage: Eukaryota; Metazoa; Mollusca; Cephalopoda; Sepiida; Sepiidae
Source: the annotation of a GenBank genome assembly
UCCAUAUCACAUUGAAACACCAGUUCCCUUAUGAUUACUGAAGUUAAGCAACGUCGAGCCUGGUUAGUAACUAGAUGGGUAACCGCUUGGGAAUACCAGGUGCU